AAAAAUAAUCUCGCUGACUGAUGCUGUUCGUAGAAAAAAACAUAAGAGUUUGGACUAAAUGAAAGGUCAGUCUCAGCCAUCUUCUCGUCAUCAUCUCCAUCUUCUCAUUCUCUGUCUCUCGUUCCACUUUCGGUAAAACACCAGAAAACCCAUUUCUACGAGCUAAGCUAUGAUGAGGCGCUAUACUUCAAAGUUUAUUAAUUGGCACUUGGGUUUGAGGAAUCUCAGUUUCUCCAUGGUUGGCUGUGAGGCUGAAUCCUAUUAUGCAUCCAGAAACAGCAAAUGCCAAGGUUUUUUUAGCGGCCAUCUUAAUGGCUCCAUGCCAAAGGCAUAUGCAACUUACUGUGCUAAGUUGCCAGAAGAUCCACAGAGCACUAAUCUCGCUUCUGACAUGUUAAUUGAUUCAUUUGGGAGGAUGCACACUUACUUGAGGAUCUCCUUGACAGAACGUUGCAAUCUACGUUGUCAGUACUGUAUGCCAGCUGAGGGUGUGGAGCUCACUCGUAGUCCUCAAUUGCUCUCGCAGGAUGAGAUUGUUCAUUUGGCAAAUCUCUUUGUGAGCUCUGGAGUAGAUAAAAUUCGUUUGACUGGUGGCGAGCCAACCAUUAGAAAAGAUAUUGAAGACAUAUGCUUACAGCUGUCUAACUUGAAAGGACUAAAGACCUUGGCCAUGACAACCAAUGGAAUCACUCUUGCGAGAAAACUUCCAAAGCUGAAAGAAUGUGGACUUACUUCUCUAAAUAUCAGCUUAGACACAUUAGUCCCGGCAAAAUUUGAAUUUUUGACUAGGCGGAAAGGGCAUGAAAGAGUUAUGGAUUCAAUUAAUGCUGCUAUUGACUGUGGGUACAAUCCAGUAAAAGUGAAUUGUGUGGUGAUGCGCGGGUUUAAUGAUGAUGAGAUUUGUGAUUUUGUGGAGUUGACACAUAACAAACCAAUUAAUGUUCGGUUCAUUGAGUUCAUGCCUUUUGAUGGAAAUGUUUGGAAUGUCAAGAAACUAGUUCCUUACUCGGAAAUGCUGGAUAGAGUGGGAAAACAGUUUCCUAGCCUAAAGAGGCUGCAGGAUCACCCUGCUGAUACGGCCAAGAACUUCAGGAUAGAUGGGCAUCUUGGUAUGGUUUCUUUUAUCACCUCAAUGACUGAGCAUUUCUGUGCUGGUUGCAAUAGAUUGCGACUUUUAGCUGAUGGAAACUUUAAAGUAUGCCUCUUUGGUCCUUCAGAGGUUAGCCUAAGAGAUCCCCUUCGCGAAGGUGCUGAAGAACACGAGCUGAGGGAAAUAAUUGGGGCGGCGGUCAAGAGGAAAAAAGCUUCACAUGCUGGAAUGUUUGACAUUGCAAAAACAGCGAAUAGACCAAUGAUACAUAUAGGAGGCUAAGGCUUGAAUAUUAGGUUUGGGUAUAACCUUGUGAGGGAGGUGAAUAGGUGCUCUCACAAAUGCAAAUACUCACAACUCAAAAACUACUUACAGCUUCGAAUAGGAUUUCACCAUGACAGUGUUCUUUCAACUAGUUGGAAAACUUUUACGAAAAUCUUAGCCAGCUCACUUGAGCUUUUGCAACUCUGUAACUUCCCUUGGGUUUUUACCACCUUCAGAGUUGACAAGGUUUGAUGAGGUGAUGCAGUGCGGAAACAACUCUUUUGAUUCUCUCGUUCAGUUGAUCUCACUGCAUUGAGUUGAAAAAAACAGUGCUGAUUACUUCUCAUGUGCUAUCACAAGCCCCAACCCGAAAUCAAUGGGCAAGGCGUGAUAAGAAUUCAUCAUUUAGACCUCAGUAGGAAUAUUCGGAAGUUAUACCCUAGUGUUGUGACAAAUAUGUCUUCAAGUUCUUACCAGUCUUGUGCCUUUCAUCAUGAUUAGCUUUACUUUAAAUGAAGUGCAAGCCCUGAUUCAGUGAGCAAGCCAUGGAUAUUAUUUUACGUAUACAGAGAACAAUAUAGAUGCAAUGUCAUAUUGGGACCACAAUGUAACAAAAACAGAAAGACUUUGUUAUUUAAUCAAGCAUGAUAUAAGCCAUUGAUUCUA
This is an RNA transcript of Populus trichocarpa (black cottonwood), 2020 nucleotides long. It is a transcript of the gene named GTP 3',8-cyclase, mitochondrial, with no coding region annotated. The transcript is spliced from 10 exons. NCBI's taxonomy places the organism in Eukaryota, Viridiplantae, Streptophyta, Magnoliopsida, Malpighiales, Salicaceae. The record is from RefSeq and is a predicted model, not a curated record.